CGGCUCCGUCCUGCUAAUGAGCCGCCCAGUUGAUUGGUGAUUUUACGCGUCCUGACCAAUUGUGAGCCUGGAAAGGCGGGGUUUUGACAACUAAAGCCAGGAUGGAUGAGUUAAGAGAGAGGAGGGGUGGGGAAAAAGGUGUCGGAAGCUUCAACGUACAGUAAGCAUCACUGAGAUCGCUCUUUGAAAACAUGUCAACAAAAUUAAAUAUUAACCAAUGACAGAAGGCAUUUUCCCCCUGUCCUUCUCCCUGCCCCCAAGCGGUCUCCAUCCUUCCCGCUUCCCGGAUUAAGAGUGCCCGGCCCCGGACAGAGACUCCACGGCGCACCGCAAAACACCUAGAGCCGCUAAAAUCUCCAAAAUCCGCAGGUGGUCGGUUGGGGGCGCUGACACCAAUAACUGUGUUUUGCAACAAUAACAGGAACAAGAAAAAUCCUGGAGCACGGAAAGCUGGCCCAUUGCAGAACAAGCAUCCCGGACUGUCCGCUACCAGCAGAAUCCACGCCGGUAAAUUUCCAAACCAAACUCCGCAUCGGAAUAAAUGUCCGAGUGCCUUUAAGUGUAAACGUGUUUCUUUUUGUUUGUUGUUUAACGCAACCAUGCAAUUAAAAACAAGUUAUUUUUGUUU
Carcharodon carcharias (great white shark) is the source of this 628-nucleotide long non-coding RNA. RefSeq lists it as uncharacterized. The record is from RefSeq and is a predicted model, not a curated record. Lineage: Eukaryota; Metazoa; Chordata; Chondrichthyes; Lamniformes; Lamnidae. The transcript has 2 exons.